RNA transcript from Vigna radiata var. radiata (mung bean), 1012 nucleotides. RefSeq lists it as uncharacterized. NCBI's taxonomy places the organism in Eukaryota, Viridiplantae, Streptophyta, Magnoliopsida, Fabales, Fabaceae. The record is from RefSeq and is a predicted model, not a curated record. The transcript is spliced from 4 exons.
AACCUGCAUGAAGUAGGUUAUGAUAGAGAACUUCUAUUAUCUCUGCAAGCAUCUCCUUCUCCCUCGUAACCCUCACAUUUCUGAACCGUGCCACCGUCUUCCGUGGAUCUCGACAGCAGCACACGUACCAGUUCCCGGGGUGAUACAGGCGAGGCGGCGGCGACCUAGUGUAGAAGAAGAGAAUCGAGGUGAUAGUGGAGAGUGAUGGCAGGAAGUUGUUCUAAAAUUGACAUACCUGAAUUUCCACCAAAUCUUAAUAUCCUUGCCAUUGAUACUGACGUCGAAGUUCUUGAAUUCAUCAAGAAAUCAUGCAACGAGAAUUUUCAUCGAGUUACGACAUGCACUGAAAAGUGCAGUCGAUCUUUUGCUGAAAAAAGAAAUAAACUUUCAUUUGAUUAUCAUGGAACUCCAUAUGCCAAUGAUGGAUGGCUUUGAAUUUCUGUGUUUUCUCAACAAAGAAGUAAUUGAUGUUCCUUUCAUAGUGAUGUCCGAGAAUGAUACUGACCCAUCCCAAGAGAAGGCUUUUACACUUGGAGCUUGCGAUUAUUGGGUUAAACUCUUUUUAGAGUUUACGAAUUUGUUCGAUAGGGGGCGUUUGUGUUCACCUAUGAUGCGACAUCAUUUCUACUUCAGGCGCAUAAGGAAAAAUAUUGAUAACUUGGAAGAUGAUGAAACAAGUGAGACAAAUUAUAGUUCUGAUGGAGAAGCCGAAGCCGAUGAUAGUCCCCAUACCUAACAGAAUAAACUAAAUAAAAUUAAUAAAUUUUAAUGUCAAACAUGCUAAUUCAUAACGGGAAUAUUGGUUUGAAACAGCUUGUAUAUGAAGAAGUUAAGUCAUCCUAGGGUUGAUUGGGUGAUUUGUUCAAUCAGAUAAAAUCAUAGCUAAAAUUUUGGAGAUAAAAUAGUCUCCUAAAAUAGAGCGAUUGCUGCCAUUCCAACCAGCCUUCACAGCUAUUGAUAACAUAGUUGAAGACUACUUCCUAUUAUUAAUCUAUUUAAGAUAUAACUGAAG